AUGGAGGAUCACUGACAGGAGCGUGGAAGACUCCAGAAUCCACUCUGGGUGGAAUCCGGUGGAUACAGCAGUGUUACAGAACAGUUCUCCACAGUCACUGUCCACAUGGGUCAGUGGGACCAAGAAGCACUCUGCUAAUGUGUGGACUCUGACCAGCAACAUCCAGCAAGACCCAGACAGCGUUUUCUAUCUCCCUGCUGGAGUUUUUUUGUUUGUCUGUGACUGGAGAGUCAGAUUUUUGUUGAGGCUGGAGGAACAGCCUCACACUUGCAGAGGUUAAUACACUCUACUGAUCCCUGAUGGGAGAAUCUUCACCUCUGCCAACAAAGAAGCCUGGUGGAUAUUUGUUUGCAGUCUGAUGAUGGGACAUCAUGCUCUGCAUCUUCAAAGUUUGUCUCUUGAUUAUUAUUCAUACACAGUAAUGUGAAGCAUGCUUAUAUCUAGUAUAACUGGACCAACCUGGUGCUCUUCAUUUAUGGAGGCUGUUGAGUCUGAAUGUUGGAUGUUGUGUAUCUCGUGUUCUCUGGGCUUUGUUGUCCUCAGUCUUUUUGCAGGAUCAGAAAACAAAACCAGGAGGCACGUAAAUGUUUCUUCUCCAAUUGGAUGAUGAUAAGACUGUGACAUGGGAUGCCACCUUUAGUCUUGUGAUGAAGCAAAGCUCAGGAAGAAGUGUGAUUAAAUGGUACCCACAUGUGUGCUGCUGAGAAGGAUGUACAGGGGCACCUGCAGCCAAAUCCAAGCCUCCUCAGCAACUUCAAGUCUGUCAGCGUGCUGAGGUCACAGAAACAAGAAAAGCAGCUUGACUUCAGAGUGUUGUUUACAGUUUUCUGUCAUCAUGAUCUCCCCUGAAGUUUAUCACUAUUAUACAAGCAAUGGUGAUGGUGUGGAGAGACAGUGGUGUUUCCUCAGAAGAACUAGCAGAGUCACAAAGGACACGAGUCCAUCUCACCCCCUUGACUUGCUGACUGAUGCUCGUCUGCACUGCACAGAGGAAAUCAACUGACCGAGCAGGAAUGGAGAAAUGGAAUCAAAGGGAGAAGUUUUUGAUGUUUUUGUAAUGAUGUAAGUAAAUCUCCAGUUUCUGAGUGAGGGAGAGAGGAGUCAUCAUCCAGGUAAAGUGACGUGGAUCAGUGGAUACACUUGUCUCCCCUUUAAAGGAGACACUCUUAGAGAGAGACGAUCCGAGUCAUCAUAAAAUGUUAGUGCUUUCAAAUACACAAACAUUUUUAAAGGACAAAAUCGAACAUCCCACUUUGACUGUAAUACAAUUAAAUCUUUGCAUGUGUGUUUUCAAACUCUCAGAUGGGCAGGAUAUCACUAUUGGACUGUCUAACCUGCAGGAGCAGCACUGAAUGACCACCACACAUGAGCAUGUUCCUGCAACAUUCAGCAGCUUUGCUUUUGUGUCAAAUGUCAAACAGCUGGAGAGGAGACUAAACCAGUGUACUGGGAUGUUUCACCAACACGUGCCAGACGCUGUAACUUCAUGGUUUCAUCACCAGAGACAGCCCCGCCCACCUCAGGACCUCGCCAUUGAUCAUGAUGAUUAUAAUAAUGACAGCGAGCGGAACUAAAACUGUAAAAAUCCAUGACCAGAAUGUUUAGAUGCUUUCUAAUUAUUAAUGAAUACUGAGAGCCUCUUUCUGUGUUUUGUCUGUUUUGUUUUGUUUUUUACCUCAUUUGUUACUAACAAAGUUCACCAAACUCACACAGUUUACAUUCUGUAUGUUUCCAUCUUUACCAGCCACACUCUACCCGCAAUUAAGCAAAUAAUCCUUAGAAAUCGUCGUUUUUCUCUUUUGUAAUUGAUGAUAAUUCAGUGAAUAUACUGCGCUGCUUCCUUUUAUUGCAUCACACAUUGCUUUAAGUUUUUCAGUGUCCAGUUAUUUUUUUACUGCUGUUUGAAUUCUCUGCAUGUUUGACCCUGUAGGCUGUUUAAUGGACUGCUUGUCUUGUAACCGCUGCCUGUUUUUGACUAAAGAUUUGGAUUUCUGACUUUAACACAG
Molecule: long non-coding RNA, 2006 nt
Organism: Oreochromis niloticus (Nile tilapia)
Lineage: Eukaryota; Metazoa; Chordata; Actinopteri; Cichliformes; Cichlidae
Exons: 7
Source: RefSeq, a predicted model, not a curated record